AGCAGCCGCGGUAAUUCCAGCUCCAAUAGCGUAUAUUAAAGUUGUUGCAGUUAAAAAGCUCGUAGUUGAACUUCGGGGUUUACCCAUUGGUCAGGCUUAAUUGUCUGUACUGGUGAGAUGAAUCUCUACCUUCUGAGGAACUUUCAUGCCAUUUAUUUGGUGUGAUGGGAAAUCAGGACUGUUACUUUGAAAAAAUUAGAGUGUUUAAAGCAGGCUAACGUCUGAAUACAUUAGCAUGGAAUAAUGAAAUAGGACGGAUUGAUUCUAUUUCGUUGGUUUCUAGGAUCACCGUAAUGAUUAAUAGGGAUAGUUGGGGAUACAUUAGCAUGGAAUAAUGAAAUAGGACAUCCGAUUCUAUUUUGUUGGUUUCUAGGAUCGAUGUA
This 383-nucleotide ribosomal RNA is filed under the name uncultured Diversispora. Its description in RNAcentral is "SSU rRNA". It matches the Rfam family "Eukaryotic small subunit ribosomal RNA", at positions 569 to 957 of the family's 1831-position model. The record is from RNAcentral. Lineage: Eukaryota; Fungi; Glomeromycota; Glomeromycetes; Diversisporales; Diversisporaceae.